UUACUCAAAGGGUUUGAUCCUGGCUCAGAAUGAACGUUGGCGGCGUGGAUUAGGCAUGCAAGUCGUGGGAGAACCCG
RNAcentral lists this ribosomal RNA (77 nucleotides) under Schlesneria paludicola. Its description in RNAcentral is "partial 16S ribosomal RNA". It matches the Rfam family "Bacterial small subunit ribosomal RNA", at positions 1 to 76 of the family's 1533-position model. The record is from RNAcentral. Lineage: Bacteria; Pseudomonadati; Planctomycetota; Planctomycetia; Planctomycetales; Planctomycetaceae.